Long non-coding RNA from Manis pentadactyla (Chinese pangolin), 1824 nucleotides. RefSeq lists it as uncharacterized. NCBI's taxonomy places the organism in Eukaryota, Metazoa, Chordata, Mammalia, Pholidota, Manidae. The record is from RefSeq and is a predicted model, not a curated record. The transcript is spliced from 3 exons.
UGUAGGCAGCCUGCCCCAGGUCCAGGGAGAUGGAGUAGGUAAAUCCAUCCAUCAGCUCCUCCUCACUCCCCAGUGUGGAGCUCUUCAAAGCCAUAGCCUGGUAGCGGGGUAGGAGGCAACCGGGGCUGCGUGGACCUCCCCACAGGGGGCAAUGUGGAACCCAAACCCUGCCCCCGAGGUCAGGCACACAGGGCCAUCUGCCUAGACCUCCAGUCCCUGGGGGAAGAAGAGGACACCCCCCCGGGCUCAGGAUUAACAUGUGGGUGGAAGUACCUGGUCCCCACACUCACCGCCCCCUCCUGCCCAGCCUUCAGUCCCCCCAUGCCCCACACCCACCGCACACACACAAGGAGCCGGGGGAAAGGUCAGCCCGGGAUGGGUCACACAGUGGCCUGGCCCUGGAGUGGCCCGCUCUGGGCUGCCCUGUGUUACCUCGGGGCUCCUCGGGACACACAGACAGAGGCGAAGGUGGUCUCUCAGCCAACGCCCACAGCGAGCAGGAAGACUCUCCCUCUCGGCUUCCCUGACUCCCACGCCUUCAGAAGGCUCCGCACAACAAGACCGCAUGUUGCUCUGUCGAGCGCCUCCGGUCAAGUGAGCAGGACUGGGGUCUGCGACCAGCAGCUGGGUUCCGUCCGGGUCACAAUUCAGGUUCUACUGGGCGUGUCUUCAGUGACAUCACUUCUUCGAGGGUCCAUUUCCUGGGCCCCUCCCUGCAUUCAGACACGCCCACAUGCCCCUCUGGGCUGCUGACUGCCCACCCUCCUGGCCCUUGCCAUGCACGACUACACAGAUCUCCACCAGAGCCCUCCUCUUGCUCUUUGGCAAUGUCACCAGGGUCCCAGCUCUGAGGAGACAAGAGCUGAGCUCAGGCCACUUUUUCUCCCCAGUUCCCUCUCCUGCUGAGGCCACAGCACCUCCCAGGAGCUACCCAAUGUCCCAACCUGCACAGGCAGGGUCACGCCAGACAUUCCUCCCUAGGGACAUCCCCAGGGAUAUAUGGAUGACACCUCCAGCUCACACACCUCAACAAACAAAAAGCAAAUAAUCCAAUUAAAAAAUGGGCAGAGGAGCUGAAUAGACAGUUCUCUAAAGAAGAGAUUCAGAUGGCCAACAGACACAUCAAAAGAUGCUCCACAUCACUAGUCAUCAGAGAAAUGCAAACUAAAACCACAAUGAGGUAUCACCUCACACCAGUAAGGAUCGCCACCAUCCAAAAGACAAACAACAACAAAUGUUGGCGAGGUUGUGGAGAAAGGGGAACCCUCCCACACUGUUGGUGGGAAUGUAAAUUAGUUCAACCAUUGUGGAAAGCAGUAUGGAGGUUCCUCAAAAAUCCCAAAAUAGAAAUACCAUUGACCCAGGAAUUGCACUCCUAGGAAUUUACCCUAACAAUGCAGCAGCCCAGUUUGAAAAAGACAUAUGCACCCCUGUUUAUCACAGCACUAUUUACAAUAGCCAAGAAAUGGAAGCAACCUGAGUGUCCCUCAGUAGAUGAAUGGAUAAAGAAGAUGCUGUACAUAUACACAAUGGAAUACUACUCAGCCAUAAAAGAAAACAAAUUCUACCAUUUGCAACAACAUGGAUGGAGCUAGAGGGUAUUAUGCUUAGACAGCAGCAGACCCCCAGACUCCAAGAAGGGACUAGCAGGGUAAACCCAGCUCUGUGGGGUCAGCCCAAGGCCAGAGUCACAGCCAAGGUGCAGCGUGAGGAGCCGGGGAGGUCCUGGAAGUGGGGGCGGAGCAGGGAAAGCCCACCGACCCACCCAAUGGUCCAGCCCCAGGCCUACCACCCUCUGACUCAGUUUCCCCUCCUGUAUAAUGG